This 1207-nucleotide ribosomal RNA is filed under the name metagenome. RNAcentral's name for it is "bacterial SSU rRNA". It matches the Rfam family "Bacterial small subunit ribosomal RNA", at positions 8 to 1237 of the family's 1533-position model. The record is from RNAcentral.
AGAGUUUGAUCCUGGCUCAGGACGAACGCUGGCGGCGCGCCUAACACAUGCAAGUCGAACGAGCGAGAGAGAGCUUGCUUUCUCAAGCGAGUGGCGAACGGGUGAGUAACGCGUGAGGAACCUGCCUCAAAGAGGGGGACAACAGUUGGAAACGACUGCUAAUACCGCAUAAGCCCACGGCUCGGCAUCGAGCAGAGGGAAAAGGAGCAAUCCGCUUUGAGAUGGCCUCGCGUCCGAUUAGCUAGUUGGUGAGGUAACGGCCCACCAAGGCGACGAUCGGUAGCCGGACUGAGAGGUUGAACGGCCACAUUGGGACUGAGACACGGCCCAGACUCCUACGGGAGGCAGCAGUGGGGAAUAUUGCACAAUGGGGGAAACCCUGAUGCAGCGACGCCGCGUGGAGGAAGAAGGUCUUCGGAUUGUAAACUCCUGUUGUUGAGGAAGAUAAUGACGGUACUCAACAAGGAAGUGACGGCUAACUACGUGCCAGCAGCCGCGGUAAAACGUAGGUCACAAGCGUUGUCCGGAAUUACUGGGUGUAAAGGGAGCGCAGGCGGGAAGACAAGUUGGAAGUGAAAUCCAUGGGCUCAACCCAUGAACUGCUUUCAAAACUGUUUUUCUUGAGUAGUGCAGAGGUAGGCGGAAUUCCCGGUGUAGCGGUGGAAUGCGUAGAUAUCGGGAGGAACACCAGUGGCGAAGGCGGCCUACUGGGCACCAACUGACGCUGAGGCUCGAAAGUGUGGGUAGCAAACAGGAUUAGAUACCCUGGUAGUCCACACUGUAAACGAUGAUUACUAGGUGUUGGAGGAUAGACCCCUUCAGUGCCGCAGUUAACACAAUAAGUAAUCCACCUGGGGAGUACGACCGCAAGGUUGAAACUCAAAGGAAUUGACGGGGGCCCGCACAAGCAGUGGAGUAUGUGGUUUAAUUCGACGCAACGCGAAGAACCUUACCAAGUCUUGACAUCCUGCGACGCACAUAGAAAUAUGUGUUUCCUUCGGGACGCAGAGACAGGUGGUGCAUGGUUGUCGUCAGCUCGUGUCGUGAGAUGUUGGGUUAAGUCCCGCAACGAGCGCAACCCUUAUGGUCAGUUACUACGCAAGAGGACUCUGGCCAGACUGCCGUUGACAAAACGGAGGAAGGUGGGGAUGACGUCAAAUCAUCAUGCCCUUUAUGACUUGGGCUACACACGUACUACAAUGGCGUU